GGGCCCGCACAAGCGGUGGAGCAUGUGGUUUAAUUCGAUGAUACGCGAGGAACCUUACCAGGGCUUAAAUGUAGUCUGACAGGGGUGGAAACACCCCUCCUUCGGGCAGAUUACAAGGUGCUGCAUGGUUGUCGUCAGCUCGUGCCGUGAGGUGUCAGGUUAAGUCCUAUAACGAGCGCAACCCCUAUCGUUAGUUGCCAGCGGGUAAUGCCGGGAACUCUAGCGAAACUGCCGGUGCAAACCGAGAGGAAGGUGGGGAUGACGUCAAAUCAUCACGGCCCUUACGUCCUGGCUACACACGUGCUACAAUGGCUAGGACAGACGGCCGCAAACCCGCGAGGGGGAGCC
RNAcentral lists this ribosomal RNA (348 nucleotides) under uncultured bacterium. RNAcentral describes it as "bacterial SSU rRNA". It matches the Rfam family "Bacterial small subunit ribosomal RNA", at positions 917 to 1269 of the family's 1533-position model. The record is from RNAcentral.